GUAGUGGCGGCUGCCUUAACAUGCAGUCGAACGGCAGCGCGGGGCAACCUGGCGGCGAGUGGCGAACGGGUGAGUAAUAUAUCGGAACGUGCCCUGGAGUGGGGGAUAACGCAGCGAAAGUUGCGCUAAUACCGCAUACGAUCUAAGGAUGAAAGCAGGGGACCGCAAGGCCUUGUGCUCCUGGAGCGGCCGAUAUCUGAUUAGCUAGUUGGUGGGGUAAAGGCCUACCAAGGCAUCGAUCAGUAGCUGGUCUGAGAGGACGACCAGCCACACUGGAACUGAGACACGGUCCAGACUCCUACGGGAGGCAGCAGUGGGGAAUUUUGGACAAUGGGCGCAAGCCUGAUCCAGCAAUGCCGCGUGAGUGAAGAAGGCCUUCGGGUUGUAAAGCUCUUUUGUCAGGGAAGAAACGGUGAGUUCUAAUACAGUUCACUAAUGACGGUACCUGAAGAAUAAGCACCGGCUAACUACGUGCCAGCAGCCGCGGUAAUACGUAGGGUGCAAGCGUUAAUCGGAAUUACUGGGCGUAAAGCGUGCGCAGGCGGUUUUGUAAGUUUGUCGUGAAAUCCCCGGGCUCAACCUGGGAAUGGCGAUGAAGACUGCAAGGCUAGAAUCUGGCAGAGGGGGGUAGAAUUCCACGUGUAGCAGUGAAAUGCGUAGAGAUGUGGAGGAACACCGAUGGCGAAGGCAGCCCCCUGGGUCAAGAUUGACGCUCAUGCACGAAAGCGUGGGGAGCAAACAGGAUUAGAUACCCUGAUAGUCCACGCCCUAAACGAUGUCUACUAGUUGUCGGGUUUUAAUUAACUUGGUAACGCAGCUAACGCGUGAAGUAGACCGCCUGGGGAGUACGGUCGCAAGAUUAAAACUCAAAGGAAUUGACGGGACCCGCACAGCGUUGAUGAUUGUGGAUUAAUUUCGAUGCAACGCGAAAAACCUUACCUACCCUUGACAUGGUCGGAAG
RNAcentral lists this ribosomal RNA (961 nucleotides) under uncultured bacterium. RNAcentral's name for it is "bacterial SSU rRNA". It matches the Rfam family "Bacterial small subunit ribosomal RNA", at positions 35 to 996 of the family's 1533-position model. The record is from RNAcentral.